RNAcentral lists this ribosomal RNA (253 nucleotides) under uncultured bacterium. Its description in RNAcentral is "partial 16S ribosomal RNA". It matches the Rfam family "Bacterial small subunit ribosomal RNA", at positions 524 to 776 of the family's 1533-position model. The record is from RNAcentral.
UACAGAGGGGGCAAGCGUUGUCCGGAAUUACUGGGCGUACAGCGCGCGCAGGCGGUCCUUUAAGUCUGAUGUGAAAGCCCACGGCUCAACCGUGGAGGGUCAUUGGAAACUGGGGGACUUGAGUACAGAAGAGAAGAGUGGAAUUCCACGUGUAGCGGUGAAAUGCGUAGAGAUGUGGAGGAACACCAGUGGCGAAGGCGACUCUUUGGUCUGUAACUGACGCUGAGGCGCGAAAGCGUGGGGAGCAAACAGG